This is a long non-coding RNA of Homo sapiens (human), 705 nucleotides long. Lineage: Eukaryota; Metazoa; Chordata; Mammalia; Primates; Hominidae. The record is from Ensembl.
GCCCCUGGGCUGCAGCCCCGGGCUCCCUCCCGGGGAAGACUCCAGCGCUCUUCUGUCCCUACACUUUCUGUUCCCGGCCUUGCCAGUUGCCAGCGGCCAGGGGCGCAGGGGUCGGCGUUCCACGUGUGUCCCGCGUGAAGAACCCAAGUGCGCACAACUGCCCCGCGCAGCCGGGACCUGCCCCACCGCCCUUCCUUCUUCCGCCUGCUGCCCGCGAGGCCCAGCCCUGCCUCGGCCCGCACCGGGCACCUCGGCGCCUUCUCCCCAGGGAAGCUCAGCAGCAACGCGGUCAGCUAGAGGCCGAGAGCUUCCUGGAACUUAGAGGUGGGAGAGGCCGCGGGCGUCGGUGACGCGCGGGCUGGAGCGCGGGCUAGAGCGGUGGCGCGUUCGGGUGGGAUGGGUGGCCCGGAGGACGGCGGGCGCGGUGCGGGGAAACUGGGAGCCCUAGUGGAAGCUCCGCUCCGCCGCCAGCUCAGCGCGCUUAGCCUCCCCAAGCUUCCGCCUCCUCGCCUGUAAAAUGGAAGGACUGGACUGAGGACCAUCCAUCUAAAGAUGCCAGUCAGCUCAAUCACAUCCAGUCUCGUCCUCUUUGGGCGUGUAUGGCUGCUGCGAAAUGCGCACGCAUCUGUAUGAACUGGAUGUUGUCCAUGGACGAGCUCCUACAGAUAAGUUUGUUAAUAAAAACAGCAGCUCUUUAUUAAGCAC